This 1291-nucleotide ribosomal RNA is filed under the name Polydispyrenia simulii. Its description in RNAcentral is "bacterial SSU rRNA". It matches the Rfam family "Microsporidia small subunit ribosomal RNA". Lineage: Eukaryota; Fungi; Microsporidia. The record is from RNAcentral.
CACCAGGUUGAUUCUGCCUGACGUGGACGCUUGUUUUAAGGAUUUAGCCAUGCAUGUCUAGCGAAGCGUAAGUGGAGCGGCGAACGGCUCAGUAAUACAGUUAUGAUCUAUUCAUGCAGCAAGGGGAUAACCACGGUAACCUGUGGCUAAGACGACGGAGAUAUGCGGGCACUGAGGUGUAGCAUUGCUUGUGACUGAGUUUCUGGCCUAUCAGCUAGUGAAGGUAGGGUAAGGGCCUACCUUGGCGAUGACGGGUAACGGGGGAUCAGGGUUUGAUUCCGGAGAAGGAGCCUGAGAGAUGGCUGCUACGUCCAAGGAUGGCAGCAGGCGCGAAAAUUACCCAAUCUCCCACGGGAGGAGGUAGUGACGAAACGUAUGCGAGAGAGAGCAGUGUAAACGCCUGCUCGAGAGCGACUGGAGGGCAAGUCUGGUGCCAGCAGCCGCGGUAAUUCCAGCUCCAGUAGCGUCCAUGUGUGUUGCUGCAGUUAAAACGUCCGUAGUCGUGUGAGAGUUUUACGAAUGUCGUAGGGCGCACUGUCCUGUGGGUAACUGUGUCACAUCAAACGUCACGGAGCCACAGCAGCGAGCACAGCAGGAGCAGUUGAGGGCGAUGGUAUUCCUGUGCGAGAGGUGAAAUUCGAUGACCACUGGAGGACCGACAGAAGCGAAAGCGUUCGUCAUGGAUGUUUCCGAUGAUCAAGGACGUAAGCCGGAGUAUCGAAGGCGAUUAGAAACCGUCGUAGUUCCGGCCGUAAACGAUGCCGACCCACAGGGAUGACAGUCCUUGUGUGGAGAAAUUAGAGUUUAUGGGCUCUGGGGAUAGUACAGGCGCAAGCCCGAAACUUUAAGAAAUUGACGGAAGGACACCACAAGGAGUGGAGUAUGCGGGUUAAUUUGACUCAACGCGGGACAACUUACCAGGGCCGGAUGGAGGCGCGAAGCAAGCAUGACCGUGCUUGCUGAUUCUCCAGCGAGUGGUGCAUGGCCGUUCCCAACACGUGGGGUGACCUGUCUGGCUAAUUCCGAUAACGCGUGAGACCCUCGUGCCGUGCGAAUGGCAGACGAUCACCGACAAGGUGAGGGAAGCAGGGGGCGAUAACAGGUCCGUGAUGCCCUUAGAUGUUCUGGGCUUCGCGCGUACUACAUUGUGCAGGGCUUACUGAAGCGAAACCUGCACGAGGUCGGGACAGACGGUUGUAAAUCCGUCUCGAACGAGGAAUUCCUAGUAACAGCGAGUCACUAACUUGUUGUGAAUGCGUCCCUGUCCUUUGUACACACCGCCCGUCGCUAU